GAUGAACGCUGGCGGCGUGCCUAAUACAUGCAAGUCGAGCGAACAGACGAGGAGCUUGCUCCUCUGACGUUAGCGGCGGACGGGUGAGUAACACGUGGAUAACCUACCUAUAAGACUGGUAUAACUUCGGGAAACCGGAGCUAAUACCGGAUAAUAUAUUGAACCGCAUGGUUCAAUAGUGAAAGACGGUUUUGCUGUCACUUAUAGAUGGAUCCGCGCCGCAUGAGCUAGUUGGUAAGGUAACGGCUUACCAAGGCAACGAUGCGUAGCCGACCUGAGAGGGUGAUCGGCCACACUGGAACUGAGACACGGUCCAGACUCCUACGGGAGGCAGCAGUAGGGAAUCUGCCGCAAUGGGCGAAAGCCUGACGGAGCAACGCCGCGUGAGUGAUGAAGGUCUUCGGAUCGUAAAACUCUGUUAUUAGGGAAGAACAAAUGUGUAAGUAACUAUGCACGUCUUGACGGUACCUAAUCAGAAAGCCACGGCUAACUACGUG
This 497-nucleotide ribosomal RNA is filed under the name uncultured bacterium. Its description in RNAcentral is "partial 16S ribosomal RNA". It matches the Rfam family "Bacterial small subunit ribosomal RNA", at positions 28 to 507 of the family's 1533-position model. The record is from RNAcentral.